GUCAGAUGCAAACUGAAUCUUUUUGACACAAACUUCUAUAUUUGUCAUUACAGAGAUUCAGUCUGAAGGUGAACACUAAGUAAUUCAUGACAUUUAUUAGAGAAAAGACUGUUUUAUAAUAUAACAGAUAUUCAUUUCAGAUGCACUGACACAACUGAACCAAGGCGUGUGUUUUUCUUCAGAUUUAAGUUUUAUUUCGUCAAAAACUGUUGGAAACAGAGGAAUAAUUUGAGAAACCUCUACAUAGCAAAUGAUUUUCUAUCUUAAAAAGCAGACCUACUUUAAACAUAUUAAACAUCUAUUUCACCCUAGUUAAGUCUGGCCCAGUCAUAUAAGAGCAACGACAGUAAAAGAAACCGCCAAUAUUAUCAUGCAUAUAUUUCUUAGUGUAAGUAUUUUAAGGAACAUGUGAACAGAACUCUUGUUCUUCCAUAGAAUACAUGUAAUUCCUGCACAAACAUGGUGAAUAAAAAAAGGCACAUGGCUUGACAUGAAGUUAUCACUGGAAACAGACAGAAAUAGAAAACAAAUUUGAUAAGGUGCACAUUUCUACCCUCAUAAAUCUUCAAGUGCAAAGAAGUCUGCAGGAAAAGACAGAGACAGAGGCCGUACUGACUGAAUUUAUAAAGUAUAAAUGCACAGUGUUACAGCCCAUAAUAAAGCAGACUUGAUUUAGACUGCAGGGUUACUGGGGACGUCCUCCAGCAGUGGUUUGUAGAACUCUGGGUUUUCAGUUUCCUAAGAGAAAGAAUAUCAGUAAAACGUACAAUAAAGGAAGAGUCUGACAUUUUAGGUAUUGUAGAUUUCUUAAAAGUCAGAGAAGAUAAACAUAAUGUUUGCACGUGUUCAUAAAAAGGAACAGUUAGUAAUUCAUUUCUAUUUUUCUUCCUUUACCUUGGUUUCUCCACUUCCUCUCUUCUUCAGAGCUUUGAUGCCCAGGACAACCACACUGAUGACGAUGCAGAGCUCCAGGACUGACAGGAUGAUCAGGACAAUGUUGAUGCUUCUCACCAUCAUCUGA
RNAcentral lists this long non-coding RNA (1021 nucleotides) under Sphaeramia orbicularis (orbiculate cardinalfish). Its description in RNAcentral is "lncRNA (ENSSORG00005011391.1)". Lineage: Eukaryota; Metazoa; Chordata; Actinopteri; Kurtiformes; Apogonidae. The record is from RNAcentral.